RNAcentral lists this transfer RNA (70 nucleotides) under Argentina silus (greater argentine). RNAcentral describes it as "tRNA-Tyr". It matches the Rfam family "tRNA". Rfam says of the family: Transfer RNA (tRNA) molecules are approximately 80 nucleotides in length. Their secondary structure includes four short double-helical elements and three loops (D, anti-codon, and T loops). Further hydrogen bonds mediate the characteristic L-shaped molecular structure. tRNAs have two regions of fundamental functional importance: the anti-codon, which is responsible for specific mRNA codon recognition, and the 3' end, to which the tRNAs corresponding amino acid is attached (by aminoacyl-tRNA synthetases). tRNAs cope with the degeneracy of the genetic code in two manners: having more than one tRNA (with a specific anti-codon) for a particular amino acid; and 'wobble' base-pairing, i.e. permitting non-standard base-pairing at the 3rd anti-codon position. Lineage: Eukaryota; Metazoa; Chordata; Actinopteri; Argentiniformes; Argentinidae. The record is from RNAcentral.
GGUAAGGUGGCCGAGUUUUAAGCGGUGGGUUGUAGCCCCAUAGACAGAGGUUAGACUCCUCUUUUUACCA